This is a long non-coding RNA of Mustela lutreola (European mink), 1007 nucleotides long. RefSeq lists it as uncharacterized. The transcript has 2 exons. NCBI's taxonomy places the organism in Eukaryota, Metazoa, Chordata, Mammalia, Carnivora, Mustelidae. The record is from RefSeq and is a predicted model, not a curated record.
AGAUUGGUAAGACAAACAAACAAAAAAAAGGAGAAACCGAGCAAUAAACUUGUGACAUCACAAGAGAACCCCCGGUGCCAGAGGGGGAGAGCACUUCAUUGCUUCCCAGAGCUACUCAUGAGGACUUUUUAUCUCGUCUUGAGAGCCUGUUUAUUUAACAUAUACCUCAGCUGGGCCAGGUUUAUACACACAUUUCAGGAUAAAAUUUAAUCUUAUAGCAGAAUGAGCUGGAAAUUCUGGUUUAAGCUGGAUGUGCCCAGGACUUCCUGUUCCCAAACUGCAAAAUGUUUGCCUUCCCCUAUCAGCACCUCAGACUAAAUGUGUCCCCAGCUGAACUCUCUUUCCUCCUCCCUCCUCUGCUUUAUCUUCCUUGCUGCCUGUCAGGCCUCACCCCACUUCCAGCCUGGCUGGAAGCUCAGACUCCAGACCUACCCCUCUUCCCCAUCCGCACCCCGCCAUGGCACGGGGGCCAGCUCUCAGCUGGUCCAUGACGGCCCGUCGGGAAGACCUCCUCGCGCCUCCUCGCUCUCCUCCAACCCAUCCCGCCUCUUCCUGCCCCGUUGUCAUCCUGCGGGCUUGAGCUUCCCGAUGAUCGCCUUCCGAAGUCUGGGCAGCGGAAGAGUCCUACACGCCACGGCCCUAACUCAGCCUGGCAUCUAAUCCCGAAGAAGGGGUUAUAUGAGCUGCAGCAGGUCGCACAGCUGGUAGCCUUCUGUCUUUCCUGACGUUACAACGAAAACCAGAAGUCUGUACUGAGGUGCGAUGGGUCAUGAUGUAUUGUGCAGACAUGCAGGUUCCAGCUCAGAUCUACACUCCGAUUCUGUCUCCUCCCUCUCAACCCUCAAAGACGCUGUCAUCAGAUGCUGCCUUGAAGACUCACUUGGCUCACGUCUUGACAUCCCAGAAAGUUCAAAGGCGUUUGGGCAGGAGCCAGCCAAGCCCUUUGUCUGCUCCCACUUACACAAAAGUGCAUUGCUGUAACUUAGAAAAAAAUCUGUUUAACACUG